This 664-nucleotide long non-coding RNA is filed under the name Mytilus galloprovincialis (Mediterranean mussel). Lineage: Eukaryota; Metazoa; Mollusca; Bivalvia; Mytilida; Mytilidae. The record is from RNAcentral.
CUCCGUUGUCCUUAAAAAAAUCCCUUCCAUAAUAUCCAAAACUUCAUCGUUGAUUUGAAAAAAAAAUGAUUUUAGAUUUUCGAUUAUCAAUUGAAAUGAACCUACUAGAGCCUCAACUUUCAAGCGCACAAUCAUUACACAUCACUUUAACCCUGAGUUGACAUUCCACAAUCGGUCAGUAACAUCACCUGUGUUUAUAGUUACAGGGUAUUUCCCGCCGUUGGACAAUCCCGUGCAGUCGACACAAUUGAUUUUUAACAUUCUCUAUUAUGAGCGAGGUCAAGUUUUAGAUCAAGUUAAUUACAUAUAUUUUUAACGUUAAUUAUUUAAUUAUUAAAAAAAAACGUAUCAUCAUUUCUUUUCUUUUUUUUUUUUUUGCUAGUAUAGUAAAUAAAUCUCAAUCCCGGGAUGUAGAUACACUUAACAUUAGACCUGGAAGUGCCUUCUUAUAAAUGGAGAAACUGUCUUUCACAUUAAAAUUUAAAAGAAUAUUAUCGCUCAGGCAUAUUUUAAAUUUUGUAAUAAGAUGAUUGAUUGUUGGUUGUUUAACUUCCAGUGGCAAAUAUUCCAUAAAUGUCAGGACGAACUUAGUUUUAAGAUCGAACUCUCAAAAGAUAAUUGAAAAACAGUAAUGAUGACAGAAGAACUUUGAUACGUGUGAAAU